This 102-nucleotide non-coding RNA is filed under the name Magnetospira sp. QH-2. RNAcentral describes it as "Glycine riboswitch aptamer". It matches the Rfam family "Glycine riboswitch aptamer", at positions 9 to 86 of the family's 94-position model. From Rfam's summary of the family: This family represents the bacterial glycine riboswitch. Glycine riboswitches usually consist of two metabolite-binding aptamers domains with similar structures in tandem. The aptamers cooperatively bind glycine to regulate the expression of downstream genes. Lineage: Bacteria; Pseudomonadati; Pseudomonadota; Alphaproteobacteria; Rhodospirillales; Thalassospiraceae. The record is from Rfam by way of RNAcentral. RNAcentral also lists the same sequence under 1 other name.
CUCUGGAAAGUGGCGCGUUGCCUGUAUCGGCUGCGAGUCCACCGAAGAUGUAACCCGGACCUCCCAAGAGAGAAGGGGAUUCUUUCAGGUCCGAUGACAGAG